GCUCUGGUGUCUCUGCUCUAAACUGCUUUUGUGCGUAGCACUCCUCUCGUGUAUGAGCAAUUAUUUAAUGCCAUCCUUCUGUCUGUCCGUUCGUCUCUCUUAGUCCACUUGUCCGUUUGUCCGUCUGUCCGUCUGUUCCUCUUGUUAACGUUGUCUUUGGGGCUGGGCCUGUGCCUGGGAUCGCCUUUGUCUUUGCCAUCCAGGCAGGCGUCACCUCCUCAGCCCCCUUUUGUGUCGCUC
This 240-nucleotide long non-coding RNA is filed under the name Drosophila guanche. The record is from RNAcentral. Lineage: Eukaryota; Metazoa; Arthropoda; Insecta; Diptera; Drosophilidae.